RNAcentral lists this transfer RNA (72 nucleotides) under Camelus bactrianus (Bactrian camel). It matches the Rfam family "tRNA". From Rfam's summary of the family: Transfer RNA (tRNA) molecules are approximately 80 nucleotides in length. Their secondary structure includes four short double-helical elements and three loops (D, anti-codon, and T loops). Further hydrogen bonds mediate the characteristic L-shaped molecular structure. tRNAs have two regions of fundamental functional importance: the anti-codon, which is responsible for specific mRNA codon recognition, and the 3' end, to which the tRNAs corresponding amino acid is attached (by aminoacyl-tRNA synthetases). tRNAs cope with the degeneracy of the genetic code in two manners: having more than one tRNA (with a specific anti-codon) for a particular amino acid; and 'wobble' base-pairing, i.e. permitting non-standard base-pairing at the 3rd anti-codon position. RNAcentral also lists the same sequence under 2 other names. The record is from Rfam by way of RNAcentral. Lineage: Eukaryota; Metazoa; Chordata; Mammalia; Artiodactyla; Camelidae.
AAGGGUAUCAUUCACUGGUAGAGUGCAUGCCUAGCAUGCAUGAGGUCCUGGGUUCAAUCCCCAGUACCUCCA